Hemicordylus capensis (graceful crag lizard) is the source of this 1060-nucleotide long non-coding RNA. RefSeq lists it as uncharacterized. The record is from RefSeq and is a predicted model, not a curated record. Lineage: Eukaryota; Metazoa; Chordata; Lepidosauria; Squamata; Cordylidae. The transcript has 6 exons.
GGGGAUCAUGUAAAAGAAGGCGCUCUCUUAGUGGAAGCAGGUGAAUUGGAAUGUACUAAAGCAAAUGAAGACAGAAUUACCAGCAAAUGACCAGUUUGUAGAGAUCAUUUUGGAGCUGCUCACAAUCCGUUUUGGAUUUCACUACCCAGAAGAGUUUGGUAUCAUCUGCAAAUUUGGCCACAUCGCUGCUUACCCCUGCUUUGACCAGAAAGCAAAGCCAUUGAUGACAGACGGCGAACAAUGAUUCUAGGCAUUGUUGCUUUUCAAUCGAUACUGUCCUACUGGUGGAACUUGAGACACUUUCUUAACUGAAUGGCAUCUGCUUCUACAAUGAGAACAAUGGGCUGAAUAUACAAUUGCUCAUCUGUGAGAACUACAGAAACAAUCCCAAAGAUGCAGAACCUUGUUGUAUGACCAGCUUAGACUUUGAGCAGAAAGUUUCUAAAAAAUGAGCAUUGGCAGUCAUGCCUCAAGAAGAAAUAAGUUGCAAAUGUAAACAAGAAGGUGUACAAUUUUCCUUGGAUCAUGCGACACCCACUUUCUCUGCAGUCCAGCCAGGUUACUUGUGCUUGGUGAAGGAAAACCAACUGGUGAUGCAGUGAAACCGUAGCUUGCCUUCUCUCUUAAAGCAAGUCGGAAUAUCUCCUCCUCAUAUACACUAUUAUUCAUACUUUGGAUAAAAUAUUGUUGGAAGGUAAUGUGCCAUCAAAAGUCAUUUAUUCACUUCUACAUUUCCCCCUUAGUACACUAACACACGUCUGUCUGAAGUCAAUCCAGCAGUGUAGCCAAUGAGGGGAGUAACAAUGCAGAUAGCUGCAGGCCUGUGAAAAUCUGACACUUGCUUUACAAGACCUGGAUUAGUGACUGUAUCUUCCAUGAAAAUCUGCAUGCCAUAGCAUAUUUUUAAAAGAGGAAUAGUUGAUCCAUUGCUUAAUAAUUGUGAAAGAAGGUUGCUGCUGCUGCUGCUGCUGUAGUAAAUAGCAUCAAGUACUUAAUCCUAGCAAUGACAUUUUUGUCUUUUGCUUAAAUAUGUAUUUGCAACAGAUGUUGUUCUUGCCAC